RNAcentral lists this ribosomal RNA (682 nucleotides) under Anaerolineae bacterium. RNAcentral's name for it is "partial 23S ribosomal RNA". The stretch from base 1 to 607 matches the Rfam family "Bacterial large subunit ribosomal RNA", at positions 1446 to 2035 of the family's 2925-position model. Lineage: Bacteria; Bacillati; Chloroflexota; Anaerolineae. The record is from RNAcentral.
GUUUUUGAGCCGUUAUUAAGUGAAGCAGGGACACAGGAAGGCAGGUUGAGCGCACGGCUGGAAGAGUGCGUCCAAGCACGCAGGGAGUGGGGCAGGCAAAACCGUUCCACGCACAAGCCCGAGGUGCGACGGGGAGGGAAACUAUAGUACCGAAGCGACUGGGGCCUAAACUGUCAAGAAAAGCUGCUAGCGAGGCUCAAGAGCGCCCGUACCGCAAACCGACACAGGUAGGCGGGGUGAGCAACCUAAGGCGCGCGAGAGAACCCUCGUUAAGGAACUCGGCAAAAUGACCCCGUAACUUAGGGAGAAGGGGUGCCUGGCGCAUGGAGCGCCGGGUCGCAGAGAAGAGGCCCAGGCGACUGUUUAACAAAAACACAGGUGCUUGCGAAAACGGAAGUUGACGUAUAGGGGCUGACGCCUGCCCGGUGCUGGAAGGUUAAGGGGAAGGGUUAUCCAGCACUCAACUCUGCUUACCGAAAGGAGACAAUGACCCAGCACUCAACUCUGAUGAUCAGCUUUGAUUUAAGCCCCACAGUUGGUCUUUGGAGUUGAGUGCUGGGCAACGAAGGUAAGAACCGUUCCACAAGAAAUCAGAACUGGAAACUCGUAUAUUACGAAGCGUACAGUUCCCCGGAAGAUGCAAAGGAGCGGGAAUACCGGCUGAAACAUCACGGUCAGGCUA